Long non-coding RNA from Canis lupus familiaris (dog), 2425 nucleotides. RefSeq lists it as uncharacterized. NCBI's taxonomy places the organism in Eukaryota, Metazoa, Chordata, Mammalia, Carnivora, Canidae. The transcript is spliced from 2 exons. The record is from RefSeq and is a predicted model, not a curated record.
UCUCUCUCUCACUCUCUCAGUGCUCAUCUUGGGACCUGGCACCACGCUGCAAGUAAGCACCAACCUCACGUGGGGACACUACAUGUAGAUGCUUCCAUUGACAACUCCAGUGAGGGUCCCAACAUCAACUACCCAACAUAUGCAAGAUUUUAAGAUAAGUCCAACUGCAGCUGCCAUCUUACCGAAACUACUACAUUCAAGACCUUGGGCUGAAUUAUUAAGUUUCCAAGAGCAGAAGCACAGCAGCAGAUUCCCAGUCUUCUCAAGGAGACCACAGGAAAGACUUAACAUCCCCCCAACUUUCUUCAUCCACAAAAUUGGCAUUCGAGACAAUGUUUCCACCAACUGAGAUCUCAGUAUGAAAUGAGCUGCAGGUCUCUGCACCAUUGAGGUCUCAUCUAGGCCAGCCACAGCUCCACACGCCAUGUGCAGAGCCAUGAGAAAGGCUUGCUCACCUCAGGGAUGCAGUCCUCAUGGGUCACGACGCGGACGAUAUCAUCCAGUGGGAGCAGAGAGUUGCACUUUAUCUCUGUGUAAACGUUCUUGCCCUCGGUACACACGGCCAAGAGCUCCACCAGGUGGAUAUGGUACAUGAGAGGGCUGUUCUCAUCCAUCCGGUCCCGCUCUGACCUCAUCAUCUGGAUCAGGGUCUGGAAAGAGGCUCUGUCGUUGUAGAACACGAGGACGUCCUCUCCCGAAUUAACAAGCUAUAAAAAGAACAGGGCUUGUUUAUAUUACAAGCCUGCAGAGGAGGUGGGGACACCAUUUAAAAAAUAUCUAUUUGCAGAGAAAUAGAGAUGCUCUGCCAGCAUCUGCUUUCCAAAACCAGUCUCACCUAUAUUAUUGAACUCAUCUAAAUUUCAUUCAUCGUUUCAAUCAACAGAUUCAGGUAUAUGACAGAGGCCUUAAAAAACUAUCAAAGGAAGAGAAAGUCUUCAGACCAGCACUCAUGUAUCAAGUGGAAAUGUGUAUUUUAAGUUUGCACUUGCAUUUCCAACCUAAUAGGCUAUGAUUUUUCUUUUUAAAACCAUUUCCAUCUUUUUAUGCUUGAAAAGUAAUAACUCUUAUGACUCUUUCAUGCACUGCUUUCUCUCUUCACACUUCCAAAUUAUCCACUUCUCAUUAAGAUACACCUUCCUUUCAACCUCAUCAAAAAAUCAAGGCAUUCUUACUUAUACAUUGUCCCCAGGACUGUAUAGGGCUUCUCAUAAAUCUACUUAAGAUUAAAUCAAUUUCAGCACUCCAUGAAAUACAGAAGAUCCAAAAAGGGCUGGCACAGAAGUCAAAACAAAUACAGUAAUAUUUACAUAGGAACAACUCACCUUUAUAAGCUCUAAUUAGGUGCCAGAUACUGUGAUAAAUACUCCACAUGGAUUAUCUAACCUCACUGUGCCUCAGUUUUGUCUGUAAAACUGAGGACAAAGAUGAUACCUAACUCAUAGUGCUGUGUCAAGAGAUUAAAUAAAUGAUUACAUGCAAACUGAUUAGAACAGUGACUAGGGUAUCAGAGGCUUCCAAUAAAUCUUAGCUAUUAUUGUCACUAUUAUUUCACUAAGUUGGCAUCUCAGCUAAUACCACCACACCAUCAUUUUAUAGGAAUGGCACACUUAGGGUUGGGGAAGUCAACAGUCACACCUCCAGUAAAGUAGGAUGGCCUACAAUCAUAUCCCAGAUCAAUUCUUUUAAUUACAGUACUCUACCUUCCACCGGAAUCCUAUGUUUUUUAUUAGAUAGGAUUAUAAAUGCAAGUGUCACCUCAGCCAUGACCAUGUCUUGGCACUUUUUGAUGAAUUUCCCUUCUGCUUUGACGAUCGUCUGCAAGAACUUUAUGUACUGGACAUUUCGACCAUGAGUCUCAAUGCAGUGGACAAAGUGCUGGACAACUCUCUCGUUGAUCUCACUGCAGAGCUGGAAAUUGUUCAUGAAGAUGUGCUGCAUGGUUACUGCCUCCAGGAUCUGGCACAAGAGUGAGGGCAGGAGCACAGGGAAAUGGUCAAAACUCUGUGGCUAGAGCAGAGUACAAAGUGAGAAAGAUAGUCUACCAAAACACACAGAGAGAAGAAUUUAAAUCCACAAAGAGGUAUUCUCCUUUCUCACUUUCUGCCAUCUUUUUAAAUCAUAAUAAACACACAGAAAGGGAAACAAAUCACUAGUAUUCAACUCAAUGAACUACACAGGAAACCCCAGCACCCAGAUCAAGAAACGAAAUGCCUCGUCACCCAAUUUAACUCCUGUUUUGAUUUCUGCAACCACAGAUGAGUUUUGCCUGCUUUUGAGCCUCAUAUACUCUCUCCUGUCUGGUUUCUUUUGCUCAAAAUUUGCAUUUUGCAAUGCUGUCAACAUGUUGUUGCAUGUACCAGCAGUUUGCUCAUGGUCAGUGCUAUGUAUAGUCCGUGGCAUGAAUAAACUACAAUGUGCUUAUCUA